RNAcentral lists this ribosomal RNA (301 nucleotides) under uncultured bacterium. RNAcentral describes it as "partial 16S ribosomal RNA". It matches the Rfam family "Bacterial small subunit ribosomal RNA", at positions 509 to 807 of the family's 1533-position model. The record is from RNAcentral.
CAGCCGCCGCGGUAAUACGUAGGGUGCGAGCGUUAAUCGGAAUUACUGGGCGUAAAGCGUGCGCAGGCGGUUUUGUAAGACAGGCGUGAAAUCCCCGGGCUCAACCUGGGAAUGGCGCUUGUGACUGCAAAGCUAGAGUGCGGCAGAGGGGGAUGGAAUUCCGCGUGUAGCAGUGAAAUGCGUAGAUAUGCGGAGGAACACCGAUGGCGAAGGCAAUCCCCUGGGCCUGCACUGACGCUCAUGCACGAAAGCGUGGGGAGCAAACAGGAUUAGAUACCCCCGUAGUCCCUGUCUCUUAUAC